This 89-nucleotide transfer RNA is filed under the name Orenia marismortui. It matches the Rfam family "tRNA". Rfam says of the family: Transfer RNA (tRNA) molecules are approximately 80 nucleotides in length. Their secondary structure includes four short double-helical elements and three loops (D, anti-codon, and T loops). Further hydrogen bonds mediate the characteristic L-shaped molecular structure. tRNAs have two regions of fundamental functional importance: the anti-codon, which is responsible for specific mRNA codon recognition, and the 3' end, to which the tRNAs corresponding amino acid is attached (by aminoacyl-tRNA synthetases). tRNAs cope with the degeneracy of the genetic code in two manners: having more than one tRNA (with a specific anti-codon) for a particular amino acid; and 'wobble' base-pairing, i.e. permitting non-standard base-pairing at the 3rd anti-codon position. Lineage: Bacteria; Bacillati; Bacillota; Clostridia; Halanaerobiales; Halobacteroidaceae. The record is from Rfam by way of RNAcentral.
GGAGGGGUGUCCGAGUCCGGUUUAUGGUGACGGUCUUGAAAACCGUUGUGCGUUUGCGCGCACCGUGGGUUCGAAUCCCACCCCCUCCG